This 143-nucleotide transfer RNA is filed under the name Rhizobium fabae. RNAcentral describes it as "tRNA-OTHER". Lineage: Bacteria; Pseudomonadati; Pseudomonadota; Alphaproteobacteria; Hyphomicrobiales; Rhizobiaceae. The record is from RNAcentral.
GGCGAAGACUGGCAGCGGGCGCAGGCCUUGUUGCUGAAGUGCUUCGAUCAAGGCUUCGAUGGGUUUGGUUUCGCCGCUCUGGACGAGGGCGCGGUAGAAGGCGAUGGCUACGGUCGGGGGUUCAAAUCCCUCCUCCGCUACCA